This 329-nucleotide ribosomal RNA is filed under the name uncultured Allapsidae. Its description in RNAcentral is "SSU rRNA". The stretch from base 50 to 329 matches the Rfam family "Eukaryotic small subunit ribosomal RNA", at positions 678 to 955 of the family's 1831-position model. Lineage: Eukaryota; Cercozoa; Glissomonadida; Viridiraptoridae. The record is from RNAcentral.
GAUUUCUGACGAAACUGCUAGCUGGCCCGCCAGCAAUGGUGAGUGCCGGCUUGGCGUUUGUCAUCCGUUCGAAUGAUAUGCGCGCUGCCCUUCACUGGGUUGGUGCUGCAUGUUUUCGAUCUUUUACUUUGAAAAAAUUAGAGUGUUUCAAGCAGGCAUGUUUGCUAUGAAUACAUUAGCAUGGAAUAAUAAUCUAGGACUUUCGGUUCUAUUUUGUUGGUGUUCUGGAGCUGAAGUAAUGAUUGAUAGGGAUAGUUGGGGGUGCUAGUAUUCAAUGGCCAGAGGUGAAAUUCUCGGAUUCCUUGAAGACUAACUUAUGCGAAAGCAUU